This is an RNA transcript of Diospyros lotus (date-plum), 1496 nucleotides long. It is a transcript of the gene named splicing factor U2af small subunit B-like, with no coding region annotated. The transcript is spliced from 7 exons. Lineage: Eukaryota; Viridiplantae; Streptophyta; Magnoliopsida; Ericales; Ebenaceae. The record is from RefSeq and is a predicted model, not a curated record.
UACAAAGCUUCAGAGACUUCCAGCUCGAGAGAGAGAGAGAGAGAGAGAGAGAGAGAAGGGUUUGUGUGAGAAUGGCGGAGCACUUGGCGUCGAUAUUCGGGACGGAGAAGGACAGAGUGAACUGUCCGUUCUACUUCAAGAUCGGAGCGUGCCGGCACGGUGACCGGUGCUCGAGGCUCCACACAAAGCCCUCCAUCAGCCCCACGCUUCUCCUCUCCAACAUGUACCAGCGCCCCGACAUGAUCACUCCCGGCGUCGACGCCCAGGGCAAUCCCAUCGACCCCCGCAAAAUCCAGGAACACUUCGAGGAUUUUUAUGAAGAUUUGUUUGAAGAGCUGAGCAAAUAUGGAGAGAUUGAAAGCCUUAACGUUUGUGACAACCUAGCUGACCACAUGGUGGGUAAUGUUUACGUUCAGUUUAGUGAAGAAGAGCAAGCUGCAAAUGCUUUAAAAAGUCUUAGUGGAAGAUUUUAUGCUGGUCGACCCAUCAUUGUUGACUUUUCCCCUGUGACUGAUUUUCGCGAGGCUACAUGUAGGCAAUUUGAGGAGAAUGCCUGCAAUCGUGGUGGAUAUUGCAACUUUAUGCAUCUGAAAAGAAUAAGCAGAGAGUUGAGACGCCAUUUGUUUGGGAGCUAUCACAGAAGGCAUAGCCGCAGUAGGAGCAGAAGCCGAAGUCCAUACAGACAUCGCAGUUACGAUGAGCGAUCUCAUGAAAGUCAUGGGCAUAGAAGAUAUGAUGACGGGGACUAUUACCAUGAGAGUCAUAGCAGGAGGCGCAGGACUACAAGCCCUAAAUAUAGGACAGGAAGAAGCAGGAGCCCACACGGGAGUCGUGGGCAUAGAAGGAAGAGGAGCCCGAGUAGGGAAGGAAGCGAAGAGAGACGUGCUAGAAUUGAGCAAUGGAACAAGGAAAGGGAACAUGCAGAACAAGUUAAUAAGGACAAUGUCUUGGGUUCCAACAAUAAUGACGAAAGAAAUGACGACAGAUUCAUGCCAAAUGGACAACAGUACUACAGAAACCAGCAGGCACCGCAGCAUGGAGGAUAUGGAUAUUGAACCAAUUAAUAUUUCUGUGGUCUGUUUGUAUCUCUUUAUUUGCAAUCAGGCACAUUGUGACCACCGGUCAUUUCCAGAUUCAGGCCUUCUCGCGUCAAAUGACCAAGGACUUGGAUAUUAACACAGUAUGACGAAAUUUUUGACAGGUUUUAUGCGGUGAAUGCAGAUUACAGGGGAGGGAGGAUCUGAGACUGAAAGUACUUGAGUUGGGAACUGUUAUUAAGUUUUUAUUGUAUUCAUGUUCCAUGCCAGAUUAGGAGUGGUUUUUUUAUGUUUUGUUGGACAGCUGAGAGCAUCAUGUAGCAGAGAUCAGAACUUUGAUCUGGAGAGGGAACUUCUUGUUAACUUUUGCUUGCAGGUAAUUUGGCUAGCAAUCAUGUUAUUCAAAAAACAUGUUGUUGUAUCUUUUUAGGAAUGAAUGUCUGCUUAUUUAUAGGAAAA